AUGCUUGCUUCAGCUGCACAUAUACAAAAAUUAGAAGGACACAGAGAAAAUUAGCAAGGCCCCCACGUAGGGAUGACAUCCAACUUUGUGAAGCAUUCCAUAUUUUA
Molecule: small nuclear RNA, 107 nt
Filed under: Dasypus novemcinctus (nine-banded armadillo)
Lineage: Eukaryota; Metazoa; Chordata; Mammalia; Cingulata; Dasypodidae
Source: RNAcentral